Molecule: long non-coding RNA, 1830 nt
Filed under: Junco hyemalis (dark-eyed junco)
Lineage: Eukaryota; Metazoa; Chordata; Aves; Passeriformes; Passerellidae
Description: lncRNA (ENSJHYG00000009387.1)
Source: RNAcentral
CAUUUGGGAUGUCCCCAGUUGGGAUCUCUUGGGUUGGGUACUCCCAGUUGGGUGGUGGGACCCCACUGGGUGACCCCCAGUUGGGUUUGAGUGGUCCCAGUUGGGUUUGGGAUGAUCCCAGUUGGGUGGUGGGACCCCAUUGGAUGAUCCCAGUUGGGUUUGGGAUGUCCCAGUUGGGUUUGGGUGAUCCCAAUUGGGUGGUGGGACCCCAUUGGAUGAUCCCAGUUGGGUUUGGGAUGUCCCAGUUGGGUUUGGGUGCUCCCAGUUGGGUUUGGGUGGUCCCAGUUGGGUUUGGGUGGUCCCACUUGGGUGGUGGGAUCCCAUUGGGUGACCCCACUUGGGUGGUGGACCCUGUUGCAUUACCCCAGUUCGGGUGGGGAUGUUUCCAGUUGGGUUCUCUUGAGUUGGGUGGUCCCCAUGUCCCCCAGGUGUCCCUGAUCUGUCCCCAGCUGUCCCUGACCCUGUCCCCAUGUGCCCAAGCUGUCCCCAGGUGCCCCUUACCUGUCCCCAGGUGUCCCUUAUCUGUCCCCAUGUCCCCCCAGCUGUCCCCAAGUGUCCCUUACCUGUCCUCAAGGUGUCCCCCAGGUGUCCCUCACCUGUCCCCAGGUGUGCCUCACCUGUCUCCAGAUGUCCCCAGGUGUCCCUCAGGUGUCCCCAAGGUGUCCCUAAAGUGUCCCCAAGGUGUCCCUGAUCUAUCCCCCAGGUGUCCCCAAGGUGUCCCUCACCUGUCCCUCACUGUCCCCUCCCCCUUUCCAGAGCCACGCCCAUCCCCCGGGAGCCGCCCCCUCCCCCCACGCUGCUGCUCUGGGGCUCCCGCGACGCCUUCCUGGACCCGCGCCUUGGCCCCGCCCACCUGCGCUGGCUCCGCCCCUCCGCCCGCCUCCGCCUCCUGCCCGGCGCCUCCCAUUGGCUGCCCGAGGAGACGCCCCGCCCCCUGGCCAAGCUGAUUGGAGAGUUCCUGGGGGGAGGGGCCGAGGAGGGGUCGUAGCCACGCCCAGGAUGGGGGGGCAGGGGGGCGGGGCUGAGAGGGAGUGGGGAAAGGGCGGGGCUUGGGGGAGGGGUCCCAACAUCUGGAUGGGGGUGGGUGGGAUCUCAACAUCUGGAUGGGGGAUCCCCAAUGUUGGGAGGAUCCUGGUGGGACCCCAACAUCUGGAAUGAGGACAUCAACAUCUGGAUGAGCACCCCAUGGUCAAGGGUGGGGACUCCAACAUCUGGAUGAGGACCCCAACAUCUGGGUGGGACCCCCAAGGUGGGGGGGGGCCCCCACAUCUGGAUGAGGCCUGUUGACAUCUGGAUGGGGAUCCCAACAUCUGGACGAGGACCCCAAGGUGGGGGUCUCAACAUCUGGAUGGGACCAUUGACCAUUGUUGGUGGAGAGCCAACAUCUGCAUUUGGGACCUUCAAAUCUGGGAGGAGACUCCAACAUCUGGACCGGAACCCUCCAAGGUCGGCGCUGGUGCUCUCAACAUCUGUAACGGGGACCCUUGGAGGGUGAUGGGAUCCUCAGCAUCUGGAAGAGACCCCAACAUCUGGAUGAGGAUCCCAACGCCUGGGUGGGACCCCCCAAGGUGGGGAACCCAACAUCUGGAAUGAGGACCUCAACAUCUGGACAGGGACAGCAAGUCCAGGGUUGGGGGACCCCGACAUCUGGAAUGGGGACCCUUGGAGGGUGAUGGGACCCCCUCAACAUCUGGAUGAGGACCCCAACAUCUGGACGAGACCUUGCUCAGCAGGGGGAGGGGGUACAGCCCCCCCAAACAUCUGGAUUGUGACUCUGUUUGUUCUCCCCCUCCCCCCCCAAAACAUCUGGCGGGGUCGACCUCAAAUAAA